GGGGGCGCUUUUUUAGCUCCCCCGCUUAUAAGCAACGCUGAGAGUAGUGUUUGGUAAAUUAGCUUCACACCAGCUUCUUUCAGAAGCCAGGGCUUUUAAGCUAGAAAAGCAGAAGCCAGAGCACCCCUGCUUUUGGAAGCCAGAAGCAGCAGCGCCUACUGUAGCGCGGUAUACUGUAGAUUAAUGAUACUUUGAUAAUACCAGUGAUUGCCCUCCCUUCCUGGAAGAAAUUACACGCGGCCUUCCUCGAUCCCUCUUCAAAUCCAAUUGCAGAGACAACCCAAAGCCACCAAAUCCAUCUCGUCCUCCAAGACUAGCCUCCAAUUUCCUCUCCGCCGUCUUCGAAUAUCUUGCUGCUAGUUUUUUGGGUUUGGGUUAGGACCAAUCGGGUAUGUUAAUGAGCUAGAUGCUAGUUUGAUUUUCUGUAUUUAGCUAAUUGGGUUAGGACCAGUUGGGUUUGGGUUUGUUCAUGAGCUAGCUGAACACCAAUGAAGUUUGAUUUUGAAUCUUGGGGUUUCCAGGUCUGCAAUGUUUUCGAAUCUAGUUGCUUGGAAGAGAUUGGAUUGGUUUGCAAUCUGGGUAAGCUAGUCAUGCUACUCCGAUUUAAAACUGUUUAUUUCACUUUAGAUUGUUUUAUGUGAAUAAUAAAGAGCAAGUUGCAAUUAUAGUCUAGUACGUGGAAGGGUGCCAAUUUUCCUUUUGAUAUAUUGUCUCUUCCAAUUUGAUGGUCAGGGCUAGCUGCAGAAGAUUUGGUGAGUGACCAUUUCUUUCAUUUUGUUGGAUCAUUAUGCUUUCAGGGUCGGGGCUAUGUUGGACUGCUGUUAAUUGAUAGUUAUCAUGUAAUUAAAGUUACUGGUGUUUGUAUUUACUUUGAUAAUCAUGCAGCUAUGGUAGACAUGAUAAUCAUUACUGAUGGCAAUUGUAUUCAUGGCCUAGGUGGCUAGGUGACCUUGGAGCUCUUCGAACUGGAAUACCCAUAGGAAAAUGUGAUUAUGUUGCUGCAGCUGAAAUUAAUUCACACUCUCUGUGCUGCAAGGAGACCUUGGAGAGUUCUUGGAACUGGAAUACCAAUAGGAAAACUUGAUAUGUAUGUUGUUGCAGCUGGUAUUAAUUCAGAGUCACUGGGAGAUCAAGCGGAAUACCAAGCAACGCACCAAGUUAUAUUAUCUUUCAUGAUGUAAAACUUAGCUAGGAAACUUGAAAAUUAAAAUGUAUGAAUGUGAUAACAAUGUUACUUAAAUUUAGUAUUUGAUAAAUUGAUGUAUCACAAGGCUUUUGGUACAAAUAUUGAUCAUGGUUUGCUUUCAA
This is a long non-coding RNA of Rosa chinensis, 1308 nucleotides long. RefSeq lists it as uncharacterized. The transcript has 2 exons. NCBI's taxonomy places the organism in Eukaryota, Viridiplantae, Streptophyta, Magnoliopsida, Rosales, Rosaceae. The record is from RefSeq and is a predicted model, not a curated record.